AUACGUAGGGGGCGAGCGUUGUCCGGAAUGAUUGGGCGUAAAGGGCGCGUAGGCGGCCGAUUAAGUCUGGAGUGAAAGUCCCGCUUUCAAGGUGGGAAUUGCUUUGGAGACUGGUUGGCUUGAGUGCGGAAGAGGUAAGUGGAAUUCCCAGUGUAGCGGUGAAAUGCGUAGAGAUUGGGAGGAACACCAGUGGCGAAGGCGACUUACUGGGCCGUAACUGACGCUGAGGCGCGAAAGCGUGGGGAGCGAACAGGAGUAGAUACCCUGGUGGUCCACGCUGUAAACGAUGAAUGCUAGGUGUAGGGGGUAUCGACCCCUCCUGUGCCGGAGUAAACGCAAUAAGCAUUCCGCCUGGGGAGUACGGCCGCAAGGUUGAAACUCAAAUGAAUUGACGGGG
RNAcentral lists this ribosomal RNA (397 nucleotides) under uncultured bacterium. RNAcentral describes it as "partial 16S ribosomal RNA". It matches the Rfam family "Bacterial small subunit ribosomal RNA", at positions 523 to 918 of the family's 1533-position model. The record is from RNAcentral.